UACAGAGGGGGCAAGCGUUGUUCGGAAUUACUGGGCGUAAAGGGCGCGUAGGCGGCCUGUUAAGUCGGACGUGAAAUCCCUCGGCUCAUCCGGGGAACUGCGUCCGAUACUGGCGGGCUUGAAUUCGGGAGAGGGAUGUGGAAUUCCAGGUGUAGCGGUGAAAUGCGUAGAUAUCUGGAGGAACACCGGUGGCGAAGGCGGCAUCCUGGACCGACAUUGACGCUGAGGCGCGAAAGCCAGGGGAGCAAACGGG
RNAcentral lists this ribosomal RNA (253 nucleotides) under uncultured bacterium. RNAcentral describes it as "partial 16S ribosomal RNA". It matches the Rfam family "Bacterial small subunit ribosomal RNA", at positions 524 to 776 of the family's 1533-position model. The record is from RNAcentral.